Long non-coding RNA from Macrobrachium nipponense, 547 nucleotides. RefSeq lists it as uncharacterized. Lineage: Eukaryota; Metazoa; Arthropoda; Malacostraca; Decapoda; Palaemonidae. The transcript has 2 exons. The record is from RefSeq and is a predicted model, not a curated record.
CCAGUCUAAAAAUAACAUCUGCGUCAGUCAGUUGAGUUGAGCAGAAGAGGGUUCCAGGGACUCGUUUUUCGUCUGACUGUGAUCCAUGCAAUGUCUUCAGAUGGAUAUGGAACGACGAAGGGCACGACGUUGUUACACCCUACAUAGGACGUCUGAGUAACUCCUACGGAAGUAAGAAUAAGAGUUAGCUCACAGGAGAAAAAACGUCGUCUUUGCAUCACUCUUUUUGUAUACGAUCGCUAAUGGAGAGAGUUAAAGUCGUAUUGUUAUGGCAGAAGUCUGAUUCUUUUCACAACAAUCAGCUGAAUUCAGUAUGGCAAAGUGCUUAUCACAAAUAUCUGUAGAUUUGUACCGGCUCCAUCAUCAACGGUGAUUACUAUAUGAAAUCAAUUCAAAUUCAUUGAGCAAUGACAAUCUAUGUUCGAGAAAGGACCCUAACAAAUCAAAAGUGUCAGAAAUGAUAAAUCGUUACAAAUGAUGUUGAGCUACUUAUGAGUAGUGCUGUGAAAAAAAAACACACUUUAUCAAUAAAGCCAUCCUAACAUAA